Carassius auratus (goldfish) is the source of this 4673-nucleotide RNA transcript. It is a transcript of the gene named sterile alpha motif domain-containing protein 15-like, with no coding region annotated. The record is from RefSeq and is a predicted model, not a curated record. The transcript is spliced from 8 exons. Lineage: Eukaryota; Metazoa; Chordata; Actinopteri; Cypriniformes; Cyprinidae.
GCGAGGACCCCUAAGAUGGCGGCCAUCGCGAUGCCUGUGCGCAAGUCGCAACGGAUGCACUUGUCACGAAGGACACAAGACAGAAGCUCUGUCCCGAGACGCUUUCGAGUUACGUUGAGACUGAGGAUUCCCCAAUCUUCCACAAUGGACUUCACAUAGGAUGAACUGUUUCCAGUUUCAGCAAAACAGCAAGAAUUUAUGAAUGGAUGACUGCACCUUAGCACUCUUCACUCCCACUGCAUGCCUCACCUGGGCCACAGAGAAAACAAUGUUGCUGCCUGUACAUGGCACAUUUAACCUCUAACCUUACAGCUGAAUCAAUGCAGUAACACUGUUAACUACCAAUGAUAUUGUACCAAAUGUUCAGACUGAAUAUACAGAGAACUGGUCCCCAGUGUUUUUGGUUAGUCUGGUUUCUCCAAAGGUUUUUUUUACUCCAGUAUCGACAUCUUACAGUUUUUUCUUAAUUAACCCCUGUUGCCUUUGGCUUGCUUGCUGUAUGUAUGACGACUAAUGCAUUUAACACCAACUAUUAAAACAGUGAGGGUGUUUUUGACAACAUAGACACAAUAGUAUGUCUUUCUGUAAAGAUUCUUUGAAAAUGUUAUGCAUUUUGAAAAAUGUAUAAAUGUCUUACAUAGAUAGUGUGCAUAUUCCUUGAACAUUUAUAUGUAAAAAAAAAAAAACAGUAGAAUCAUUAUAUUAUAAUUGCAAAUUAUAAUUAUAUAGCAAUUAUUGCUAUCUAUAUAAACUAUCUAGCUGUAUUUUUAGUUACUUUCAGUGCACAAACAACCAUUAUUCACUUACUAUACUUAAUGGUAUAAAUAUAAUAGGCAUACUGACAUACUUCAUGUAAAAUUAAUAUAACAUUCAUUUUACAUAAAAUAAUAAUAUAUAUGUAUAUAAUACAACAAUAACAUGGUUCUGCACAAGCAAUUGCGAUAUUAUAUCAUUUAGAUUAACAAUAUAAAUUUACACACACACAUCGAGUAGCUGUAUGCUAUGCUGAUACGCGAGUAACAAAAAAAACGAGAAAUGUUUGAUUUCACAACCUAAAGCGCGUCGGCUAUAUACUAGCAUAUAAAACAUGUAAUUUAAAGUACAUAAAUUGUCAUUAUAGCAAAGUUCAAACGACAAAAAUAAAAACGCUAUUUAGCAGGAAUUGUAAUCAGGCGCUAAAAAAUAAUACCCAUUAAUUGUUCGUUGAGCCAAUGGGAUCACUCGGGGUCCUAAGCGGACUCGAUUUCUCGGGCGGACUCGAUUUCUCAUGACACCGGUCCUAGCUCGAUAGUGGAAACACGGCUAUUGAUGCUUUCUUCACCCGGAAGUACGUCCCAGUCUCCCUCCGCGAGCCGGAAGUGCUCGGGAUCCGUCUUUGUGUUUGUGUUUAUCUCCGCUGCUCGCUCCAGAACACCGCGCCAGAGGAAAAGAGAUGAAGAUGAAGAUGAAGAUGAACACAGAUGAGUGUUUGAGAGAGGGAUGUUCUGAGAGUGACAGAGCGGUGCCUCGUUAAUGACAAACCCUGCAUUAAUAAAAAUAAAAAUAAUAAUACCAAACAGAUCGAUGAUCAACAGUGUCAACUUGAUGUUUAUCAGUUUGUCAGAACAUUUGUCAUUAACCAAAAUAUAUGAAAACUUAACUUUUCACCUCGUCUCCACUACAACAUUUGAUGGGCUAAAAUAACAACAAAAAAUUAUUAUUAUUAUAAAAAUAAAAACUGUAUAGUAUACGUUAAAGAAAAAAACUAAUAGAAAAGGCAAAACGUACAACUGAAAAACUAAAAUCAACAUGAAAACAGAAUAUAUAGAUAUAAAAACAUUUUAUAUUAGUUAUAAUUUUGUAAUAUUUUUAUUAUAAAGUCAAAAAAUAAUUUAAAUUUAAAUAUGGUAUUUUACAGUGUCCUAAUACUGUGUUGCAGUCCCCUACAACAACCUUAAAUUAAUCUAAUUUUCUCAGAAUAUAUGUUUAUUAUUAGAGUGAUUUUUCAAUGAUUUCGAAAGGAUUUGUUCAAAGCAGUUCUGAGCUCAAGAACCGCAAACUCCUCCCCUCCAUCAGCCUGCUCUGCUCUGAUUGGUCAGCUGGCCAAGUCUGUUGUGAUUGGUCCUUUUCGUAAACAACACACCCAUUAUCAUAAUACAUGUUAUGGGAGGAGGGAAUUAUGCAAAUGUGUUACCUUGUGAUGUAUAUACAGGUAACAGACAGAUGAUAAAAAAUUAUAUAUAUGUAUUUACUUUUGAAAUAGUUUUUUACUAAUGGUAAAACUAAAUAGUAUUUUAUUUUAUUUGUUGUAAGUUAUAAUAUAUUUUUAUGCAUUUAUUUUAUAUUUAUUUUACCCUUUGUAUAUGGUCUUUAUAUUUUCAUAAGUAUUGCAAAUAUUAGUGCAGACAAUCAUUUACAAAUAUAUAUUUUAAAGUUGUAAAUUUUUACAAUUAUUAUAAAUUUUUUUACACUACGCUAACCUUGCCAUGUCAUAAAUGUUUUUAUUUAUAGUUCAUAAAACUUUAAAUAAAUUGCAGUGAACCAUUUUUGUAAGUGUAUUUGAUCAUCAUGAGUUGUCACUGAAGUCGUUUAUAAUGAUGUCUGUAUUAGACUGAAGGCUGUGUGUGUGAUUAUAGAUCUGAUGUGUGUGUGUGUGUGUGUGUGUGUGUAUUCUGUGUUUUCAGAGAAUGCUCUGAGUCAUGGCUCCUCCCCUUCGCUGUCAGAGUUCAGCCCUGAGCGAAGCCCAUUGGUUGUUCAGCUGCAGACUCCUCCCCCCAGAACAAGCCCCGCCCACCACCCUGCAGGACCUCCAGAAUCACGACUGCUUGUCUUACGUCCUGCUCACUCUUGCCAAAGACGAGACUCUCAUCUGGUUGGCGGUGCUGGCGAGCCGCUGGUGUUUGUUCAGGACGAUGUGGACGAGGCGCAGGAGGAGGUUUGGGCUGGAGACUGUGCCGAUGGCAGCGCGCCGUGGUACCUGUGUGUCCAGGAGCUGGCUCAUGACAGCCUGAUCGCCGCCACACGAGCACAGCUGACCAGAGACACCCGCACCGGCUGCAACAGCGAGACACAUUCAUCUUCAUCAAACCAUCACUGCUCUGCGUCACGCCUGCUGCUCUCUAAUGUCUCGUGUCUGGUUGCCAAGGUGACCACAUCCACAGCUGUCAGUCAGACGGAGCCUCGAGCCGGACGCACGACGUCAGAGAAGAUCCACCGGUGCCCGUACGAGACCUGCCUCCAGACCUUCAGCUAUCCAGCUCACCUCAAAUACCACCUGAAAACACACAGGUGAAAUAGCUCUUCCUGUGUGAUGAUGAUAGCUGUGAAUAUUCCAGUCUGCGCAAACACAUGCUCGCACACUCGGGUGAGAAGCCGCACGUGUGCUCCGUCUGUGGGAAGUUGUUCUCUCAGAGCGGCAGCAGAAACGUUCACAUGAAGAAGAGACACAGCGAUGAAAGCAGAGACAUGGGUGAAGCACUCCCUCAGAGCCGCGGUGAUUCGAUGGUCAGCGUGAAUCUGAACCGACUGAUGCUCUGUCACAUGACCCACGGCAGUGACAUCAUCACGUGUUCUGUGUGCUCAGGUGCAGCAGACGCUGUCGUGGAUCUCACACCAGAACAUUUUGGCAAAAGCUCAGCAGAUUCAUCAUUGGCCAUAUUUAUAAAGACUUUGCCUUAUUGUGGAAGGAUGUUAUUUUUUGUUUUUAUAAAAGUCAAAGUAAAGAAAAAAACGUACUUCAUUAUAAAUUUAUUAAUACUUUUGGCAAAAUUUCACAUUCAUAAAUGUAAAUUCAGCUCUAAAAAACCUUGUUUUGUACUCUUUAUCCAUGAAGUUGAACAUUACAUUAAUCUGUUUCUGGCUCAAACAACAAAAAGGCUGUUAAAACUAUCAGCAUAUGGUCCUCCUUCACUUUGUAAUGACUUGUAAGCUUCCCCUGGCUACUUUAAUUUUUUUUGUAUAUUAUGGCUAAUCACAUGUGAAUUGUACCCUUUUUGCAAUAAAAAAAAAACAAACAAAAAAAACGCUGUCGUGGAUCUGACUCCGCCCCAUGACGGCAGGCCACGCCUACAGCGAUGACGUGGUUGGGCUGCUCUAACAGCUGCUUUAGUAUUUUUUGAUAAUUGUAUUUUCACUUGUAUUAACCUUCUCAGUUUCUGAUAAAGAUAAAGGUCAUCUAUCUAUCUGUGCUCCUGUAUAACUCUAUUCUAACUCUAUUAUACGGUGGUGGUGAUGUUGUGAAUCGAACGGCUCUGAGGUCUGUUGGCUUGUUGACUGGUCUCCAUGGUAACGCAGCAGCAUGGCGUUCCUGCGCUGGAGUGGUGAGGAUGUGGCUCGCUGGAUCGAGUCUGUCGGGUUCCCCCAGUAUAAGGCGUGUUUCACUCAGAAUUAUAUCACGGGCAGAAAACUGAUUCAUGUCAACUGCUUCACCCUGCCACGACUGGGAAUCACUGACUUCCAGCACAUGCAGCUGAUCUCAGCUCAGGUCAGAGAACUGCUGGACGUCUCGGAGCCGCGCUGGAACCAGAGCAUCGCUGACCCUCUUCAUGAUGAGCGGACGGUGUUCCUGCAGAAGAAGAGCAGAAGCGGUCAGCAGACAGAUUCCCUCACAUACGAGCAUCUCCUCCAGAACAAGAGCCAGUAAACCCAUCAAGACAUUAUCAUAAACAUAUAUAAUAAACAGCUUCUGAACAUGC